CGAGCCAGCCGGAGCGGUUCCUAGGAGACAUCCUAGGAGGGCAGCAGCACAGCAGGAGGAUGAGCCUGCAGAUGCACCGGCACAACAGCCUGAGCCUUUUCAGAUGAGAGACAUGUACAUGUCUAUGAUGGAGGCGAGGAUGAAGUCCCUUUGUAGAGUUUCGUAGUGUGAUGGCGUGGCCUCAAGGGCAGACACAGGGUAGUGGGUCCGGAGCAGUUGGGACGUCAGGCGGACAGGAGAUGACUAUGAGGAUGAAGACUUUGAGGAUGCCCAAGAGGAGGAUGAGUAUGAUUCAGAUGAGGAUCUGCGCUGAGGGUAUCUACUAAUGGAUGCCAGCAUUUGACAGGGAUUUUUCUU
This 357-nucleotide long non-coding RNA is filed under the name Vigna radiata. RNAcentral describes it as "long non-coding RNA (VRAD_LNC002099)". The record is from RNAcentral. Lineage: Eukaryota; Viridiplantae; Streptophyta; Magnoliopsida; Fabales; Fabaceae.